GGUCUAUGGCUCAGCGGUAGAGUGCUCACCUAGAGCAUGUGAGGCCCUGGGUUCAAUCCUCAGCACCA
Molecule: transfer RNA, 68 nt
Filed under: Marmota monax (woodchuck)
Lineage: Eukaryota; Metazoa; Chordata; Mammalia; Rodentia; Sciuridae
Description: tRNA.Ser
Source: RNAcentral